Roridomyces roridus is the source of this 90-nucleotide non-coding RNA. Lineage: Eukaryota; Fungi; Basidiomycota; Agaricomycetes; Agaricales; Mycenaceae. The record is from the annotation of a GenBank genome assembly.
GUCCCCGGGGGGUAAGCAACCCACUCCCAAAUAGUAACGCCGAAUAGAAUAUGUUGGGGAGGGCUGGUGGUUCGAAUCCACCCGGGGACA